UGGGGAAUAUUGCACAAUGGGCGCAAGCCUGAUGCAGCCAUGCCGCGUGUAUGAAGAAGGCCUUCGGGUUGUAAAGUACUUUCAGCGGGGAGGAAGGGAGUAAAGUUAAUACCUUUACUCAUUGACGUUACCCGCAGAAGAAGCACCGGCUAACUCCGUGCCAGCAGCCGCGGUAAUACGGAGGGUGUAAGCGUUAAUCGGAAUUACUGGGCGUAAAGCGCACGCAGGCGGUUUGUUAAGUCAGAUGUGAAAUCCCCGGGCUCAACCUGGGAACUGCAUCUGAUACUGGCAAGCUUGAGUCUCGUAGAGGGGGGUUAGAAUUCCAGGUGUAGCGGUGAAAUGCGUAGAGAUCGGGAGGAACACCAGUGGCGAAGGCGGCCUACUGGGCACCAACUGACGCUGAGGCUCGAAAGUAUGGGGUAGCAAACAGGAUUAGAUACCC
This 442-nucleotide ribosomal RNA is filed under the name uncultured bacterium. RNAcentral's name for it is "bacterial SSU rRNA". It matches the Rfam family "Bacterial small subunit ribosomal RNA", at positions 355 to 787 of the family's 1533-position model. The record is from RNAcentral.